GAUGAACGCUAGCGGCAGGCCUAAUACAUGCAAGUCGAGGGAGAAUGUUGGAUUCGUCUGACAUGAAACCGGCGCACGGGUGCGUAACACGUAUGCAACCUACCUUUAACUGGGGUAUAGCUCAGAGAAAUCUGAAUUAAUCCCCCAUAAGACUACGACAUGGCAUCAUGAUGUAGUUAAAGCUCCGGCGGUUAAGGAUGGGCAUGCGGUACAUUAGCUAGUUGGUGAGGGAAUGGCUCACCAAGGCUACGAUGUAUAGGGGGUCUGAGAGGAGGAUGCCCCAGACUGGUACUGAGACACGGACCAGACUCCUACGGGAGGCAGCAGUAGGGAAUAUUGGUCAAUGGACGCAAGUCUGAACCAGCCAUGCCGCGUGAAGGAUGAAGGCCCUAUGGGUCGUAAACUUCUUUUAUUAGGGAAGAAAAAACGGGAUGCGUCCUGUACUGACGGUACUUAAUGAAUAAGGAUCGGCUAACUUCGUGCCAGCAGCCGCAGUAA
RNAcentral lists this ribosomal RNA (498 nucleotides) under uncultured bacterium. Its description in RNAcentral is "partial 16S ribosomal RNA". It matches the Rfam family "Bacterial small subunit ribosomal RNA", at positions 28 to 523 of the family's 1533-position model. The record is from RNAcentral.